Molecule: small RNA, 1097 nt
Filed under: Pongo abelii (Sumatran orangutan)
Lineage: Eukaryota; Metazoa; Chordata; Mammalia; Primates; Hominidae
Description: retained intron
Source: RNAcentral
ACUCGCGGAAACCGCCGGUGCACGUUGGAGUCAUAAGACGGCGGGUGUUGCAGUCUGUGUCCUUGGAGGUGACCAGGGCCACUGCAGGCAUGGUGCUAGGCUUUGAUGACAGUAGGAAAAGAACCAUUUCCUACCAUUUAUGUAGAUUCACAAAAAGAAAAUGAGAGGUGGAAUGUUAUUUCUAAAUCACAGUUGAAGAACAUUAAAAAGAUGUGGCAUAGGGAACAAAUGAAGAGUGAAUCCCGGGAAAAGAAAGAGGCAGAAGAUAGUUUACGAAGAGAAAAGAACCUGGAAGACGCAAAGAAGAUUACCAUUAAAAACGAUCCAAGUCUCCCAGAGCCAAAAUGUGUGAAGAUUAGUGCAUUAGAAGGAUAUAGAGGCCAAAGAGUAAAGGUGUUUGGCUGGGUCCACAGGCUGCGCAGGCAAGGAAAGAAUUUAAUGUUUCUGGUGUUGCGAGAUGGUACAGGUUAUCUUCAAUGUGUCUUGGCAGAUGAGUUGUGUCAGUGCUACAAUGGAGUACUCUUGUCCACGGAGAGCAGUGUUGCAGUGUAUGGAAUGCUAAAUCUUACCCCAAAGGGCAAGCAGGCUCCAGGUGGCCAUGAGCUGAGUUGUGACUUCUGGGAACUAAUUGGGUUGGCCCCUGCUGGAGGAGCUGACAACCUGAUCAAUGAGGAGUCUGACGUUGACGUCCAGCUAAACAACAGACACAUGAUGAUCCGAGGAGAAAAUAUGUCCAAAAUCCUAAAAGCACGAUCCAUGGUCACCAGGUGCUUUAGAGAUCACUUCUUUGAUAGGGGGUACUAUGAAGUAAGUAUGCGUUCGUCAGCUUUUGCAAACAGUAACAUUUUUUGCCAUUUUGAAACUUGAAUAGUGGUGCUCGUGAUAAACAUUGAUUUAUUCCUUCUUUGCAUUUGAACAGGUUACUCCUCCAACAUUAGUGCAAACACAAGUAGAAGGUGGUGCCACACUCUUCAAGCUUGACUAUUUUGGGGAAGAGGCAUUUUUGACUCAGUCCUCUCAGUUGUACUUGGAGACCUGCCUCCCAGCCCUGGGAGAUGUUUUUUGUAUUGCUCAGUCAUACCGGGCAGAGCAGUCCA